RNAcentral lists this ribosomal RNA (301 nucleotides) under uncultured bacterium. RNAcentral's name for it is "partial 16S ribosomal RNA". It matches the Rfam family "Bacterial small subunit ribosomal RNA", at positions 509 to 807 of the family's 1533-position model. The record is from RNAcentral.
CAGUCGCCGCGGGAAUACGUAGGUGGCAAGCGUUGUCCGGAAUUAUUGGGCGUAAAGGGCUCGCAGGCGGUUUCAUAAGUCUGAUGUGAAAGCCCCCGGCUCAACCGGGGAGGGUCAUUGGAAACUGGGAAACUUGAGUGCAGAAGAGGAGAGUGGAAUUCCACGGGUAGCGGUGAAAUGCGUAGAGAUGUGGAGGAACACCAGUGGCGAAGGCGACUCUCUGGUCUGUAACUGACGCUGAGGAGCGAAAGCGUGGGGAGCGAACAGGAUUAGAUACCCCUGUAGUCCCUGUCUCUUAUAC